Molecule: ribosomal RNA, 462 nt
Filed under: uncultured bacterium
Lineage: Bacteria
Description: partial 16S ribosomal RNA
Rfam family: Bacterial small subunit ribosomal RNA
Source: RNAcentral
GACGAACGCUGGCGGCGUGCUUAACACAUGCAAGUCGAACGGAAAGGCCCUUCGGGGUCCUCGAGUGGCGAACGGGUGAGUAACACGUGGGUGAUCUGCCCUGCACUUUGGGAUAAGCCUGGGAAACUGGGUCUAAUACCGAAUAGGACCGCGCGCUUCAUGGUGUGUGGUGGAAAGCUUUUGCGGUGUGGGAUGGGCCCGCGGCCUAUCAGCUUGUUGGUGGGGGAAUGGCCUACCAAGGCGACGACGGGUAGCCGGCCUGAGAGGGUGACCGGCCACACUGGUACUGAGAUACGGCCCAGACUCCUACGGGAGGCAGCAGUGGGGAAUAUUGCACAAUGGGCGCAAGCCUGAUGCAGCGACGCCGCGUGAGGGAUGACGGCCUUCGGGUUGUAAACCUCUUUCACCAGGGACGAAGCGCAAGUGACGGUACCUGGAGAAGAAGCACCGGCCAACUACGUG